RNAcentral lists this ribosomal RNA (520 nucleotides) under uncultured Glomus. RNAcentral describes it as "SSU rRNA". It matches the Rfam family "Eukaryotic small subunit ribosomal RNA", at positions 569 to 1092 of the family's 1831-position model. Lineage: Eukaryota; Fungi; Glomeromycota; Glomeromycetes; Glomerales; Glomeraceae. The record is from RNAcentral.
AGCAGCCGCGGUAAUUCCAGCUCCAAUAGCGUAUAUUAAAGUUGUUGCAGUUAAAAAGCUCGUAGUUGAAUUUCGGGACUAAUAUGUCGGUCGUACUUUGUACGUACUAGCAUUAUUGGUUUCUCCCUUCUGACGAACCACGAUGUCAUUAAUUUGGUGUCUUGGGAAAUCAGGACUGUUACUUUGAAAAAAUUAGAGUGUUUAAAGCAAGCUCGCGCUUGAAUACAUUAGCAUGGAAUAAUGAAAUAGGACGUUUGAUUCUAUUUUGUUGGUUUCUAGGAUCGACGUAAUGAUUAAUAGGGAUAGUUGGGGGCAUUAGUAUUCAAUUGUCAGAGGUGAAAUUCUUGGAUUUAUUGAAGACUAACUACUGCGAAAGCAUUUGCCAAGGAUGUUUUCAUUAAUCAAGAACGAAAGUUAGGGGAUCGAAGACGAUCAGAUACCGUCGUAGUCUUAACCAUAAACUAAUGCCGACUAGGGAUCGGAUGAUGUUAAUUUUUAAUGACUCAUUCGGCGCCUUAAC